Molecule: small nucleolar RNA, 101 nt
Organism: Juglans microcarpa x Juglans regia
Lineage: Eukaryota; Viridiplantae; Streptophyta; Magnoliopsida; Fagales; Juglandaceae
Product: small nucleolar RNA snoR97
Exons: 1
Source: RefSeq, a predicted model, not a curated record
AAUGUUUUGGCUGUAGAAACCCUGGAAUCUUAUCAAUUUUUUGUUGUCAGCUUCAUCUCUUUAAUAUUCCAUGAGAAUGGAGUUAAAUGACACUACCAUGC